CAAAGUGCUGGGAUUACAGGUGUGAGCCACCGUGCCCGGCCAGAAAGUUUGUUCUUAAUUCACUGUAAAUGGCAUUUCUAAGGUUUUUAAUAGGCUUCCUGGAGUGUGGGUAUGAUAUCCCGAUCCAUCACUGACUAAGAAAUAAAAAUUAAAUGGGAUAAUAUAUGUAAAUCACAGCUGAGUGCCUUGGCUCAUAGUAGCCUCUUCUCUUCCAUCAUAGUAGCUCUUGACAAAUGUAAGUUACUCUCUCUUAUUUCUACCGUUAUUGUACUUCAGUUUUCCUUGAACUUUGAAGAGCUGUUAAUUUUGUGAAAGAAUUAGUUUUAUUUAGGUAUAGAAGAGAGGAGGCUGAUGGGGAAGAACUGUUUUCUGGCACACGUUCUGCUGGGCCUUUGUUUUGGGGCAUCUUUGAGGACAGAGUGAGAGCGACCCGCAGUGGAAGGGAUUUCUAAAUACAAGGGUUGAAAGAGUAUACCGUUUUUUUCUUUCUUUUUUGAGACAAGGUCUUGCUGUGUUGCCUAGGCUGAAGUGCAGUGGCGUGAUCUUGGCUCCCUGCAACCUCCACCUUCCGGGUUCAAGCAGUUCUCAUGCCUCAGCCUCCCAAAUAGCUGGGAUUACAGGUGUGCGCCACCAUGCCCUGCUAAUUUUGUAUUUUUAGUAGAGAUGGGGUUUCUCCAUGUUGGUCAGGCUGGUCUCAAACUCCUGGCCUCAAGUGAUCCACCCACUUUGGCUUCCCAAAGUGCUGGGAUAUAGGCAAACGGCCACUGUGCCUGGCGUAUACUGUCUCUUAACCAUUAGGUAAGUGCUGGUCUUUUUUCCCCCUGGCAUGUUUUUGGAAGAGAGUGAAUAGGUCUUUUAGGCCUGUGUAGAGACAAUGAUGCUGUCAUUGUUAACAUUUUCUGAAUCAUUCUGAAAUUUUGAGUAGAAUGUAUGGCAGUAUAGGAAUCUGGAUGUCGAAGGAUUGAUGAAAACUUUCUAAAUACAUUCAGGCAACAUGAGAUCUUUUUAUCGGCAAUUGUGCAAGUAAAAAUACUGUGAUACAUAAUUUGUAAUAGAGCAGGUAAACUUAGGAAUAAAAGCUUUAGAACUGCAACAACUGUAUAUGAGCAUAUUCAGUUUUGGUUUAGGUUGGUGCCCUCCAAUAGAGCUUUUAGCAAUGACAGAUGUUUUUUAUGCAUUGUCCAGUAUGGUGGCCACUAGCUCUGAAUGGCUAUUGUGCAAUUAAAACAUAGCUUAUCUUACCAAGGGAUUGAAUUUUAAAUAUUCAAUUCUAAAUAAUUAAAGGUUAAAUUUAAAUAGCUCUGUGUACCCAGUGAUUACUAUAUCGGAUGGUGCAGGUCUCAGUUCUUUCCACCAUUUUUUCCCCACCAUAUUUUAUAUCUUUACAUAGGUGAGACAAAUGGACUUAGGUCAAAAGGUUUACAACUGGAGAACCAAGUUGGAAGCAAAGAGGUUUUUUUGCAAAGAGGAAUCUCUUGCAAACAAACCUGGAACUUGGCUUAGUGAGUCAGUUUUUCUGACAUGUAAGUAUGGCUCUUUCAGAGCACUAGCACUGGGGCUGUGCUCCCCUGGAGAGGAAGAGCCUUAAGGAAGGAAGGAAGGAACUCUUGAGUCUGUUAAGUAAACUGAGUGUGUUGACAGUUUGAACACAC
RNAcentral lists this long non-coding RNA (1652 nucleotides) under Homo sapiens (human). RNAcentral describes it as "HSALNT0273216". Lineage: Eukaryota; Metazoa; Chordata; Mammalia; Primates; Hominidae. The record is from RNAcentral.